Molecule: ribosomal RNA, 218 nt
Filed under: uncultured bacterium
Lineage: Bacteria
Description: partial 16S ribosomal RNA
Rfam family: Bacterial small subunit ribosomal RNA
Source: RNAcentral
UACGUAGGGGGCGAGCGUUGUCCGGAGUUACUGGGCGUAAAGCGCACGCAGGCGGUCAGAUCAGUCUGGAGUGACAGUCGUCGGCUUAACCGACGAAGUGUUCUGGAAACUGUCUGACUUGAGGGCUUCAGAGGGACACGGAAUUCCGGGUGGAGUGGUGAAAUGCGUAGAUAUCGGAGGAACACCAAUGGCGAAGGCAGUGUCCUGGGAAGUACCUG